UAACUGUAGUGCAUCUAUUCUGUAGAGUGGGCCCACUUUCUGUUAAUGAGUUAACAGCUUUCCCAAGUGCAAAAGUACACAAGGCUUGCUGAAUCAGAGCUACCUGAUGGAUCAAAGAAUAGAUAUAGCUGAAGCUGCUCUUGGUUGGGUGAUUUCUACCAGCAAUGCAAACCGGUCUGCAACAAUAGAUGCAGAUCCUAAGGAGAGAACCACCCCCAUCACAUAUCAAAAAGUCCUCAGCUGAAAUGAAGAGUAAUUGGGGAAAUAAGCAAGAAUGCUGCUUUCUUGAACCUCGUACCAGCACAAGGGUGAAGGAGAUAAACACAAAGAACAAUCAACUCCUACUAAACCACAUAUCCAGAGACAUAGAG
Jaculus jaculus (lesser Egyptian jerboa) is the source of this 371-nucleotide long non-coding RNA. RefSeq lists it as uncharacterized. The transcript has 3 exons. The record is from RefSeq and is a predicted model, not a curated record. NCBI's taxonomy places the organism in Eukaryota, Metazoa, Chordata, Mammalia, Rodentia, Dipodidae.